GGACCCGCACAAGCGGUGGAGCAUGUGGUUUAAUUCGACGCUACGCGAAGAACCUUACCAGGACUUGACAUCUCGGGAAUCCUCCUUAAUCGGAGGAGUGCCGCAAGGAACCCGAUGACAGGUGCUGCAUGGUUGUCGUCAGCUCGUGUCGUGAGAUGUAAGGUUAAGUCCUCCAACGAGCGCAACCCUUAUUGUCUGUUUUACAUGUCAGACAAAACUGCUCGGGUAACCGAGAGGAAGGUGGGGAUGACGUCAAAUCAGCAUGGCCCUUACGUCCUGGGCCACACACGUGCUACAAUGGGGAUGACAACGGGUAUUGCCAAACCGCAAGGUGGAGCUAAUCCUAAUAAACAUCCUCUCAGUUCAGAUUGAAGGCUGCAACUCGCCUUCAUGAAGUUGGAAUCGCUAGUAACUGCUGGUCAGCGAUACAGCGGUGAAUACGUUCUCGGGUCUU
This 454-nucleotide ribosomal RNA is filed under the name uncultured bacterium. Its description in RNAcentral is "bacterial SSU rRNA". It matches the Rfam family "Bacterial small subunit ribosomal RNA", at positions 917 to 1382 of the family's 1533-position model. The record is from RNAcentral.